Long non-coding RNA from Cryptotermes secundus, 1738 nucleotides. RefSeq lists it as uncharacterized. The record is from RefSeq and is a predicted model, not a curated record. The transcript is spliced from 5 exons. NCBI's taxonomy places the organism in Eukaryota, Metazoa, Arthropoda, Insecta, Blattodea, Kalotermitidae.
UGAAGCUGUUUUGUUUAGGGGUAGUCAGCCAUUUUAUCUGUUGGGUGGUUUAAGGCGAGGGAAGUUUGGUGAGGAUUUUGUUGAAAUUGCACAGUUAUGCAUCAGCACAUGAAUUUUGUAUGUGCUCCACCCGUUCACCCCGUUCCUUCAGAGCAAAAUGGCCGCUGCAGAUCUUUUCUUAGCUUGCAGAAUAGUAGAGCAUCCAAGAGCUGUGGAAGAUGUGAUAAAGAGAGGACACAGGUGCCUCCACCCAGAGCAGCCUUGGCUCAACACAGCGUCAGAGAUAUACCUGGCACAAGCACAGGAGCUGGCAUUCUGUGAAAAUGUCUUGCUUUGACGUGUCCGUUGACCAUCCGCACGCAGACAUCGUGCACUACUUCCUUCUGGGUCGAGGUCAAAUUUUGGAGAAUUAGACAUCCUCGAAGGAGUUUGCUGCUUGGCGUGCUUUGCGUCAUCCUGUUAUGAACCGAGUUGCAAUGAAACAGAUCUGACUAUGACAUGCGAUAGCUUCAGUGAUGUGGUGUGUUGAAGAGAUUUGAGUAAAAUGGAUCUAGUACAGGUCAUGUUCCAUAGAACAAGUGUCUUUUUAUGACAGCAGAAAUGGCAACGCCACACCACACCAUCAUUUGUGCGGUACAUGUGGUUGUUUGCGGACGGCUUCUUUCUCCAAGUGAUACUUGCUUGUCUGCCUCAGCUUGCUUGUAGCUAAUCUUUGAGUCUGCCUGACUGCCUUCGUACUUCGCCAUCCAUGCAGCUGGCAUUAUGCUUACCUAGUAUGCAUGGGGUUUCCAUUGGCCAAAGAUAUAGAAAUGCUCACUAUUUCCUUAGCAUGAAACUCUUCACUUUGUAAUGUAAGAUAAGAAAAUGUGAUGUAGUUGAUUUAAUUUGUAAUGUAAUUUUGUGACUGUUUAAUAGUGUUUGACAUACAUAUUUGAUUAACAGUGCUCUCUCAUAAUUAGGGUAAUUAAUAUUUGUCGUUCUUAUGAUUUAGUUGUGCUUCAAGACAUAUUUCUGUGAAGCUAGUCAGUUUCCAUGUCCUUCAGGCCAUAGUCUGGAGACUAAGAUAGCGUGGAAUGUUGCUGAUUGUGGUAUCACUGUGUCACCCUCAAUAGAAGUCAGCGGCAAUGUAACAGUUCAGACUGAGUGAGGAGGCAAAAGUCAGUGGAAUGUGGAGAAGUGUGUUAGUGAAAACUGAUCUACUCCUGGGUAUGUUACCGAGACGUAUGUAGCCUAGUGACAGUGGAAAUGAUACCACCUACCACCACACCAUACCACCAUUUACGAGGUGACAUGUACACCAGCAUUCCCUUCUGUGGAGUUAUCUUAAUUGUUCUGUUAAUUUAUACAUAAUAUCAACGUGUUACAUGUUGAAUUUUAGGUAACAUAUCUUAGUUAUGUAAACGGUUUUUUCCUUCAGGUGAAAAUAGCAUGAUGAAUCUCACAUGUCUGCAUCUGCUUGCCUUCGUAUUGAUGACUGUCUGCAUGCAUAUUCUUCAGCAUGUAUAAACCUGCUUGUGUGUCUCAGCCAACAUUCCAGCUGGCAUUGCUCUUAACCAGAAUGCGUAUGGCUUACAUUGGCAUGAGGAGGUGGAAAACACAAAGAAUUAACUUAAUAUUAAUAUUUCAGUUAAUGACAUGACAUAUAAGAAUACGUGAUCAAAUUGACUCGAGUUACGUGGGGCAAUCCAAGUUUCCAAAAUUUGAAUUUUGCGCGCUAAUGGUUAUGAGUACAUCAAAA